GGAGAAUUGAAAAUUGAUAAAGGAUGAUUAUUCUGCUAAGAUGUCAAACAAGGGUAUUGUUCCCUUGACACAUUCAUUGAAGUAUGAAAGAUUCUGAAUAUGAUAACUUGUAUUUAGACUCGAUAAUAAACAAAGAAACAUGACAGAAGAAUCAACUUCUAUACAAUACAUUAGAAUUCAUCCAACAGUUACAGUAUUAGACUCCAAAUGGCAUUGAUUCUAGUAAAGGAAAUGGACCCAUGUGAGGCUCUGUGGAAAGACUGUGAAAUGUGCCUUAUAUUAACCUAGGAAUACCAAGAACUUAUGAUAAAGCUGCUUCUGUUCUGGUGGGACAAUGAACAUCUCUUAUUUUCAGGUUCAACCACCCACUCUUUAUCAAGCUCUUGCACCUGCUCAAAUUGAUUUCCAAAAUAUAUGAACAAAGGGACAAUUUUUUUGAGAUUUAAGCUAUGAAAUUAACAUUUCUGCAAUUCUGCUUUAUCAGAGCUAUGAGGGCAUGCACCUUUGGUCAAUGAAUACAGAUAUUUGCCUUCAAAAAGUAGAUAUGGUAAAUUGCCUUGAAAGGGUUGCAAUUUGGCCAUUUUGUCAUAAAGAUGGAAGCUCAAUGCUUGAAUUCCACUUUAGUGUGGAGGAAUCUGUCCUGCAAGAAGUCAGUAGCACACAUACUGAGGCCUAAAUGGAAAAUAGCGAUAAUUGCUAUUGCAAAUGUUGAUAUAUAGCAUGAAGGAGUCUCCGUAGCUUAUUACUGCUCAGAAUUCUGAGUAAGAGCCAAAUUUGCCAUCUAUCUUAAUAUAAGGAAUAUGUCUUAUCUUGAGCCAUUCAUUCACAUUACCCUUCAUGAACUGCUGUAGUAGAAGAGGACAUCUUUCUAUACGUAGUUCCAGAACUGAGGGAGGCAAGCCCUUCUUGGGAAAGGAUGUAAGCUUAGGACAGUCAGAGAUCCAUAGCUCCUGAAGAGAGGUGAGGUUCUGAAAGCCUCUGCAGGAAAGGUACUCCAGAUUUGGGAAAUCGCGAAUGCGUAGCCUAGUUAGAGUUGGAGGCAGCAUCAUUCCUAUCUCAUCUGAAGGAAAGGAUACAAUAUGAGAGCACCCACCUUGAAUGUACAGACUUCUAAGAGAGGUUAGUUUGUGCAUUCCCCAAUUAAACAAUAGCUUACAGAUCUUAAGAUCUAUUAUCCAAAGAGAAGUUAGGCUGGUAGGAAGACCCUCUUCUGGGAAGGAUACAAUGUGGGGACAGUAAGUUAUCCUCAAUUCUUGAAGAGAUGUGAGGUUAUACAUGCGAUCAGGGAUGGCCUCGAGUUUCUCACAUUCAAUGAUAAUGAGCCUUCUCAGGCUGGCAGGCAACCCUCCUGGGAAGGAAACAACAUUUGAACAGUAAGAUAUUGAAAUCUCACGGAGAUUGCUCAGUUUAUGAAGACCUUCAGGCAAGGAUUUAAGGUUGUUACAAAACCAUAUAGAAAUAUCCUUCAGAGACAAGUUGUUGUAAAAACUGGCCACCAUUGACUUCAAAUUUUGACAAGAAUGGAUUGAGAGGUGUUUAAGCCCUGUUGAUAACCAGUCUCCUGAUGGUAAAGAUACGAGCUUUGGACAAGAAUGAAUUUGGAGGUGCUUAAGAGCUGCAGGCAAAUUGCCUUUUGGGGCUAUGGAUAUGAGAGAGUCACACCUUUCAACAAUCAGGUACUCAAGAAGAGAUGCAUUAUUGGAGCUACUGCUGAUAUUCACCUGAGAUGUCAUCAAUGAGGAUUCCUCCCCAUCAUCCAGCAAGCAAACCAAGUUCUUGCAAAUUUUUAUUUCCAGCUUUUUUAGAGUUGGAGGUAGCUGAUAUCUUCCAAAUGACGUCAGAGAAUCGCAUCCUUGAAUGCACAAGUGUUCGAGGCACAUGCUAUUACCAGUCACUGCAGCAGGUAAGGAAGUUAAACUAUUGCAGUUCAAGAUACGAAUCACUCUAAGCAUGCAAGGCAGACCAGCCACAGGAAAGGAAAGGAGUCUUGGACAAUCUUGAAUUUUUAGUUCUUUGAGGGACACAAGGCUAUGAAACCAUUGUGGUAGCUUCUCAAGGGUUUCACAUAAACUUAUUGUCAAAGAUCCUAUUUCACAAUUAGCCAGACGUUGUUGCAACUGCUCUUCUUCUUCUUCUUCUUCUUC
RNAcentral lists this unclassified non-coding RNA (2144 nucleotides) under Hevea brasiliensis (rubber tree). The record is from RNAcentral. Lineage: Eukaryota; Viridiplantae; Streptophyta; Magnoliopsida; Malpighiales; Euphorbiaceae.